UAAGGUUCUUGUAGUUGAAUA
Molecule: transfer RNA, 21 nt
Filed under: Cyprinodon variegatus (sheepshead minnow)
Lineage: Eukaryota; Metazoa; Chordata; Actinopteri; Cyprinodontiformes; Cyprinodontidae
Also listed under: 1 other name
Description: partial tRNA-Glu
Source: RNAcentral